RNAcentral lists this long non-coding RNA (260 nucleotides) under Phoenix dactylifera (date palm). RNAcentral's name for it is "long non-coding RNA (PDAC_LNC013964)". The record is from RNAcentral. Lineage: Eukaryota; Viridiplantae; Streptophyta; Magnoliopsida; Arecales; Arecaceae.
AUACUAUGGAGCGGCACAGCUAGCAGGCAAUCUCUAACCCUACUCCUCUCUAUACAAUACCUGCCCUGCAAUCAAAAACACCAAACUGGGGAGUGAGUAUAUAAAUACUCAGUGAGUGGAGUAGAGAGUACUAUGCACAUGAGACCAGAUAUGAUCAUGGCUCGAGGUGAAAUCUCAAGAGCAUAUGAGCAGUCAUCAAGAACAGGAUACACAUAACUCAACAUAAGAAAUAAGAAGUAAAUCAUCACAAUCCCAAUCAA